AAAGAAGCCGACAUUCGCAGCCGAAGUGUCUUUAGUUUAUUUUUUCUCUUCUUUCUAUAUUAGAUUUCUUCCUCGUAGUUUUAAUAUUCAAACUGAUUAUUUAGCUAAAAUACUCAGAUUUGAAAUAACAUUUUUCUCAUGUAAGCACAUCAGUUUCUGAAUGGUUUUCUCUAGCGCAUAGUCUCUUCCCGAUAUCUUAAAAAAAAA
RNAcentral lists this small RNA (207 nucleotides) under Arabidopsis thaliana (thale cress). RNAcentral's name for it is "ATSL112610". Lineage: Eukaryota; Viridiplantae; Streptophyta; Magnoliopsida; Brassicales; Brassicaceae. The record is from RNAcentral.